GGAACCCGGCCGACAGAAGAUGGCGGAUGAGCAGCGUGCAGGGUUUUCUCCCUGUGGCUCACUCUCUCUUACUGUGCUGGGCGGUUGCUUCCUCUCCUGCUGCCCUUGGGAGUCAGACUCCAGGUUCUUCAGCCUGUGGCCCCUGGGGCUCUCGGGCCUUGGAGGACUGACUAGGAGCACACGGUGGGCCUCUCUGGUUUGGGGGCCUGGGACGUGGCGGAGCCCUGCAGCUUCUGUGCGGCCUGUUCUGGGCGUCGCGUUGAAACGCCAGCCAGUUCCCCAAGUAAGCUCCCUGCACACACGCCUGAUAGCCUGUUGGUUCCGUCCUUCUGCGGGAUUUUCACUACCACUCUCUAACUCACACACAGCAGAAAGAGCAUACGGGAGAGAUGAAGCAGUCCACUCCAAGAACAUUCUCAUCCUACGGAUUACGAGUCCCCCUGGGAUUACAGGAGUGUUGAAGAAAUGUUGUGACACAUCAGAACACCGCGAAAUACAUGGACACUUUCAAAUCAUGGAAGACUCAAGCCCACCAGGUAUUUUUGAAAAAAGUACUCUGUGAAAAACAGAAACUGCAAGCAAGACAGAUACCAGGAUUAGGGAUCACGGUGACUUCUACCAUCGCUGGAUACUCCCAAAAGGGUUCUCGAGACAGCAGCUGUGUCUGCCCUGCUUUGGCAUUCUUUCCCAGGCAUGGCGACCGUAAGUCAAAAUGUAAUCCUUAGCUGGUCAUACAAGCCCUGUCAUUACUCAUAUAUGCAGAUGAUAUUUUAAAUUCUUCCAGUUUUUUUUUAGGGAGGAGUAUUAAAACAUGAGUAAAAAUUAAUUUGUGGGCUCACUGACAAUGGGGUUUAAUUUGCAUUUUUAUCCUCAUUGAUUAGCACCAAGCCCAGAAGAACUUGUGUUCAUUAAGAACUUGUUGAUUGAGCAGCUAGAAAGGGGCUUGUCUUCCAUAAGGAGAUCUCUACUCUUGUGGGUUUUACUCUCUAGCAGAGGGACAUGAGCAACAGACAAUAAAAUAAAUAUUACAUGGUAUAUUUGAACAAUAUAAAUGCCACGAAAAUGAAAAAUAAAAGUGCAGAGCAAGGAAGAGAGAUGAGAAGGCCAACUGAGAUCUUAAAUGAAGUGGGGAUGGUGGGCCUCACAGAGAGGAGAUGACACACUUGAAGAAGGUGAAGGGGCAAGCACAGAUACUCUGGGGAAUGUGCAUUCCUGCCAGGACCAUCAGUGCUAAAGCCGUAAGUGGAGGUGUGCCUGGCACUUGCCAGGAAUAAUGAGGAAGGGGAGGUGGCAGAGGAGAGCUGAGCUGCCAGGAGAAUGGCACAGGACAUUGGAGGGCUGAUGAGGUCCAGAUGACAUGUGGCUUCACAAACCAUUGCAAGGAUAUGGCAUCUGCUCUGAGUCAAAUGGAAAUUUAUUGCAGGAUUUGAAAAAAGAGUGAUGGCUGUGUCCAGUGGCUCAUGCCUAGAAUCCCAGCACUAUGGGAGGCCGAGACAGGCAGAUCACUUGAGCCCAGGAGUUUUAGACCAGCCUGUGCAACAGGGUGAAACCUCGUUUCUACCAAAAAUACAAAAAUGCAUGGGCGUGGUGGCACAUGCAAAUAGUUCCAGCUAAUCAGGAUGCUGAGGUGGGAGGAUCACUUGAGCUCUGGCAAGUGGAGCCUGCAGUGAGCUGAGAUCACCACCACACUCCAGUCUGGGCAACAGAAUGAGAUCCUGUCUCAAUAAAAAGAAAAAAGCGUUGAUGUGGUUUGGCUCUGUGUCCCCACCCAAAUCUCACCUUGUAGCUCUCUUAAUUCCCACAUGUUGUGAGAGGGACCCAGUGGGAGAUGAUUGAAUUACGGGAGCCAGUCUUUCCCAUACCGUUGUCAUGGUAGUGAAUAAGCCUCGAGAUCUGAUGGUUUGAUAAGGAGAAACUUGUUUCGCUUGGCAUUUAUUCUCUCUUUGCCUGCUGCCAUGCAUGUAAGAUGUGAAUUUUGCUCCACCUUGACUUCUGCCAUGAUUGUGAGGCUUCCCCAGCCAUGUGGAACUGUAAUUAAACCUCUUUCUUUUGUAAA
Molecule: long non-coding RNA, 2056 nt
Filed under: Homo sapiens (human)
Lineage: Eukaryota; Metazoa; Chordata; Mammalia; Primates; Hominidae
Description: HSALNT0340822
Source: RNAcentral